AAUCAGGUCGGCUAAUUGGAUGAAUCCAUCAGCUGAUUCAAUUCCUUUAAUUUGUUAAUUUAACAGUAAUUUAAUCAGUGGUUGUUGAACUGACGAUGGCUUGUUAAAAAUAUUUGACAUACCACCCAACCAUCAGUGCGUCUCCCACCAAGACUAUAAGUCUGACAGCUUCAGCAGUGACAUCACUUAUUGUUAUCCUGCAGAGUUCAUUUGGUAACGCAUGAGUACUCUAACGCGUUACUUUAAUUCAAAGGUGACGCUGUAACGUAACAGAUUACUUUUAAUUGAUGGUCAUGUUGUAACCUAAUGAACUACUUCCCAAAGUAACUAUACCCAACACUGAUGGUGACAGUGAUCAGUGGCCUGCAGACACACUCAGUUAAAAUGUGUGUGUCAUCAUGUCAUUGUGUCAUUGUGUCAGAUCAGGUGACUUACGUGACAUGUCUACAUGGUCGCCAUCAAUUGUCAUGUUGAAUGAUAAACCAAUGCAGGAUCCAUUUCUGGAGAGAAAGAUGGUGGAACAUCAUGCAACCCUGAACGCAACUGGACGUUAUGAUUUGGAGAUAUGUGAGCCUGGAGCAGCAUAUAGACAGAAAUAAAGUUAGAAACCUGAACCCAA
Long non-coding RNA from Larimichthys crocea (large yellow croaker), 619 nucleotides. RefSeq lists it as uncharacterized. The transcript is spliced from 2 exons. Lineage: Eukaryota; Metazoa; Chordata; Actinopteri; Sciaenidae. The record is from RefSeq and is a predicted model, not a curated record.